UUAAGCGACUAAGCGUACACGGUGGAUGCCCUGGCAGUCAGAGGCGAUGAAGGACGUGCUAAUCUGCGAUAAGCGUCGGUGAGGUGAUAUGAACCGUUAUAACCGGCGAUUUCCGAAUGGGGAAACCCAGUGUGUUUCGACACACUAUCAUUAACUGAAUCCAUAGGUUAAUGAGGCGAACCGGGGGAACUGAAACAUCUAAGUACCCCGAGGAAAAGAAAUCAACCGAGAUUCCCCCAGUAGCGGCGAGCGAACGGGGAGGAGCCCAGAGCCUGAAUCAGUGUGUGUGUUAGUGGAAGCGUCUGGAAAGGCGCGCGAUACAGGGUGACAGCCCCGUACACAAAAAUGCACAUAUUGUGAGCUCGAUGAGUAGGGCGGGACACGUGGUAUCCUGUCUGAAUAUGGGGGGACCAUCCUCCAAGGCUAAAUACUCCUGACUGACCGAUAGUGAACCAGUACCGUGAGGGAAAGGCGAAAAGAACCCCGGCGAGGGGAGUGAAAAAGAACCUGAAACCGUGUACGUACAAGCAGUGGGAGCCUCUUAAUGGGGUGACUGCGUACCUUUUGUAUAAUGGGUCAGCGACUUAUAUUCUGUAGCAAGGUUAACCGAAUAGGGGAGCCGAAGGGAAACCGAGUCUUAACUGGGCGUUAAGUUGCAGGGUAUAGACCCGAAACCCGGUGAUCUAGCCAUGGGCAGGUUGAAGGUUGGGUAACACUAACUGGAGGACCGAACCGACUAAUGUUGAAAAAUUAGCGGAUGACUUGUGGCUGGGGGUGAAAGGCCAAUCAAACCGGGAGAUAGCUGGUUCUCCCCGAAAGCUAUUUAGGUAGCGCCUCGUGAAUUCAUCUCCGGGGGUAGAGCACUGUUUCGGCAAGGGGGUCAUCCCGACUUACCAACCCGAUGCAAACUGCGAAUACCGGAGAAUGUUAUCACGGGAGACACACGGCGGGUGCUAACGUCCGUCGUGAAGAGGGAAACAACCCAGACCGCCAGCUAAGGUCCCAAAGUCAUGGUUAAGUGGGAAACGAUGUGGGAAGGCCCAGACAGCCAGGAUGUUGGCUUAGAAGCAGCCAUCAUUUAAAGAAAGCGUAAUAGCUCACUGGUCGAGUCGGCCUGCGCGGAAGAUGUAACGGGGCUAAACCAUGCACCGAAGCUGCGGCAGCGACACUAUGUGUUGUUGGGUAGGGGAGCGUUCUGUAAGCCUGUGAAGGUGGCCUGUGAGGGUUGCUGGAGGUAUCAGAAGUGCGAAUGCUGACAUAAGUAACGAUAAAGCGGGUGAAAAGCCCGCUCGCCGGAAGACCAAGGGUUCCUGUCCAACGUUAAUCGGGGCAGGGUGAGUCGACCCCUAAGGCGAGGCCGAAAGGCGUAGUCGAUGGGAAACAGGUUAAUAUUCCUGUACUUGGUGUUACUGCGAAGGGGGGACGGAGAAGGCUAUGUUGGCCGGGCGACGGUUGUCCCGGUUUAAGCGUGUAGGCUGGUUUUCCAGGCAAAUCCGGAAAACCAAGGCUGAGGCGUGAUGACGAGGCACUACGGUGCUGAAGCGACAAAUGCCCUGCUUCCAGGAAAAGCCUCUAAGCAUCAGGUAACAUCAAAUCGUACCCCAAACCGACACAGGUGGUCAGGUAGAGAAUACCAAGGCGCUUGAGAGAACUCGGGUGAAGGAACUAGGCAAAAUGGUGCCGUAACUUCGGGAGAAGGCACGCUGAUAUGUAGGUGAAGCGACUUGCUCGUGGAGCUGAAAUCAGUCGAAGAUACCAGCUGGCUGCAACUGUUUAUUAAAAACACAGCACUGUGCAAACACGAAAGUGGACGUAUACGGUGUGACGCCUGCCCGGUGCCGGAAGGUUAAUUGAUGGGGUUAGCGGUAACGCGAAGCUCUUGAUCGAAGCCCCGGUAAACGGCGGCCGUAACUAUAACGGUCCUAAGGUAGCGAAAUUCCUUGUCGGGUAAGUUCCGACCUGCACGAAUGGCGUAAUGAUGGCCAGGCUGUCUCCACCCGAGACUCAGUGAAAUUGAACUCGCUGUGAAGAUGCAGUGUACCCGCGGCAAGACGGAAAGACCCCGUGAACCUUUACUAUAGCUUGACACUGAACAUUGAGCCUUGAUGUGUAGGAUAGGUGGGAGGCUUUGAAGUGUGGACGCCAGUCUGCAUGGAGCCGACCUUGAAAUACCACCCUUUAAUGUUUGAUGUUCUAACGUUGGCCCGUAAUCCGGGUUGCGGACAGUGUCUGGUGGGUAGUUUGACUGGGGCGGUCUCCUCCUAAAGAGUAACGGAGGAGCACGAAGGUUGGCUAAUCCUGGUCGGACAUCAGGAGGUUAGUGCAAUGGCAUAAGCCAGCUUGACUGCGAGCGUGACGGCGCGAGCAGGUGCGAAAGCAGGUCAUAGUGAUCCGGUGGUUCUGAAUGGAAGGGCCAUCGCUCAACGGAUAAAAGGUACUCCGGGGAUAACAGGCUGAUACCGCCCAAGAGUUCAUAUCGACGGCGGUGUUUGGCACCUCGAUGUCGGCUCAUCACAUCCUGGGGCUGAAGUAGGUCCCAAGGGUAUGGCUGUUCGCCAUUUAAAGUGGUACGCGAGCUGGGUUUAGAACGUCGUGAGACAGUUCGGUCCCUAUCUGCCGUGGGCGCUGGAGAACUGAGGGGGGCUGCUCCUAGUACGAGAGGACCGGAGUGGACGCAUCACUGGUGUUCGGGUUGUCAUGCCAAUGGCACUGCCCGGUAGCUAAAUGCGGAAGAGAUAAGUGCUGAAAGCAUCUAAGCACGAAACUUGCCCCGAGAUGAGUUCUCCCUGAGACUUAGAGUCUCCUGAAGGAACGUUGAAGACGACGACGUUGAUAGGCCGGGUGUGUAAGCGCAGCGAUGCGUUGAGCUAACCGGUACUAAUGAACCGUGAGGCUUAACCUU
This 2902-nucleotide ribosomal RNA is filed under the name Escherichia coli. RNAcentral describes it as "bacterial LSU rRNA". It matches the Rfam family "Bacterial large subunit ribosomal RNA". Lineage: Bacteria; Pseudomonadati; Pseudomonadota; Gammaproteobacteria; Enterobacterales; Enterobacteriaceae. RNAcentral also lists the same sequence under 7 other names. The record is from RNAcentral.